This 433-nucleotide ribosomal RNA is filed under the name uncultured bacterium. RNAcentral's name for it is "partial 16S ribosomal RNA". It matches the Rfam family "Bacterial small subunit ribosomal RNA", at positions 29 to 507 of the family's 1533-position model. The record is from RNAcentral.
AACGAACGCUGGCGGCAUGCCUAACACAUGCAAGUCGAACGAGACCUUCGGGGCUAGUGGCGCACGGGUGCGUAACGCGUGGGAACCUGCCCUUAGGUUCGGAAUAACUCCCCGAAAGGGGUGCUAAUACCGGAUAAUGUCUUCGGACCAAAGAUUUAUCGCCUUUGGAUGGGCCCGCGUUGGAUUAGCUAGUUGGUAGGGUAAAGGCCUACCAAGGCGACGAUCCAUAGCUGGUCUGAGAGGAUGAUCAGCCACACUGGGACUGAGACACGGCCCAGACUCCUACGGGAGGCAGCAGUGGGGAAUAUUGGACAAUGGGCGAAAGCCUGAUCCAGCAAUGCCGCGUGAGUGAUGAAGGCCUUAGGGUUGUAAAGCUCUUUUACCCGGGAUGAUAAUGACGGUACCGGGAGAAUAAGCUCCGGCUAACUCCGUG